GUAUAAUGGGUCAGCGACUUAUAUUCUGUAGCAAGGUUAACCGUAUAGGGGAGCCGUAGGGAAACCGAGUCUUAACCGGGCGUUAAGUUGCAGGGUAUAGACCCGAAACCCGGUGAUCUAGCCAUGGGCAGGUUGAAGGUUGGGUAACACUAACUGGAGGACCGAACCGACUAAUGUUGAAAAAUUAGCGGAUGACCUGUGGCUGGGGGUGAAAGGCCAAUCAAACCGGGAGAUAGCUGGUUCUCCCCGAAAGCUAUUUAGGUAGCGCCUCGUGAAUUCAUCUCCGGGGGUAGAGCACUGUUUCGGCUAGGGGGCCAUCCCGGCUUACCAACCCGAUGCAAACUGCGAAUACCGGAGAAUGUUAUCACGGGAGACACACGGCGGGUGCUAACGUCCGUCGUGAAGAGGGAAACAACCCAGACCGCCAGCUAAGGUCCCAAAGUCAUGGUUAAGUGGGAAACGAUGUGGGAAGGCCCAGACAGCCAGGAUGUUGGCUUAGAAGCAGCCAUCAUUUAAAGAAAGCGUAAUAGCUCACUGGUCGAGUCGGCCUGCGCGGAAGAUGUAACGGGGCUAAACCAUGCACCGAAGCUGCGGCAGCGAACGUAUCACCCAAGACAACUUUACGGAGUUGACGAUUGACGGAGCGAAGCGACGUCAAAGCGUUCAUUAAAGUCGAGUUGGCUUAGGGAUACGUUCGUUGGGUAGGGGAGCGUUCUGUAAGCCUGUGAAGGUGUGUCGUGAGGCAUGCUGGAGGUAUCAGAAGUGCGAAUGCUGACAUAAGUAACGAUAAAGCGGGUGAAAAGCCCGCUCGCCGGAAGACCAAGGGUUCCUGUCCAACGUUAAUCGGGGCAGGGUGAGUCGACCCCUAAGGCGAGGCCGAAAGGCGUAGUCGAUGGGAAACGGGUUAAUAUUCCCGUACUUGGUGUUACUGCGAAGGGGGGACGGAGAAGGCUAUGUUGGCCGGGCGACGGUUGUCCCGGUUUAAGCGUGUAGGUGUGUGUUCCAGGUAAAUCCGGUUCACUUUAACACUGAGGCGUGACGACGAGGCACUACGGUGCUGAAGCAACAAAUGCCCUGCUUCCAGGAAAAGCCUCUAAGCAUCAGGUAACACGAAAUCGUACCCCAAACCGACACAGGUGGUCAGGUAGAGAAUACCAAGGCGCUUGAGAGAACUCGGGUGAAGGAACUAGGCAAAAUGGUGCCGUAACUUCGGGAGAAGGCACGCUGACAC
RNAcentral lists this ribosomal RNA (1231 nucleotides) under Salmonella enterica subsp. enterica serovar Typhimurium. RNAcentral's name for it is "partial 23S ribosomal RNA". It matches the Rfam family "Bacterial large subunit ribosomal RNA", at positions 610 to 1757 of the family's 2925-position model. The record is from RNAcentral. Lineage: Bacteria; Pseudomonadati; Pseudomonadota; Gammaproteobacteria; Enterobacterales; Enterobacteriaceae.